Molecule: ribosomal RNA, 497 nt
Filed under: uncultured bacterium
Lineage: Bacteria
Description: partial 16S ribosomal RNA
Rfam family: Bacterial small subunit ribosomal RNA
Source: RNAcentral
GAUGAACGCUGGCGGCGUGCCUAAUACAUGCAAGUCGAGCGAACAGACGAGGAGCUUGCUCCUCUGACGUUAGCGGCGGACGGGUGAGUAACACGUGGAUAACCUACCUAUAAGACUGGGAUAACUUCGGGAAACCGGAGCUAAUACCGGAUAAUAUAUUGAACCGCAUGGUUCAAUAGUGAAAGACGGUUUUGCUGUCACUUAUAGAUGGAUCCGCGCCGCAUUAACUAGUUGGUAAGGUAACGGCUUACCAAGGCAACGAUGCGUAGCCGACCUGAGAGGGUGAUCGGCCACACUGGAACUGAGACACGGUCCAGACUCCUACGGGAAGCAGCAGUAGGGAAUCUUCCGCAAUGGGCGAAAGCCUGACGGAGCAACGCCGCGUGAGUGAUGAAGGUCUUCGGAUCGUAAAACUCUGUUAUUAGGGAAGAACAAAUGUGUAAGUAACUAUGCACGUCUUGACGGUACCUAAUCAGAAAGCCACGGCUAACUACGUG